This 253-nucleotide ribosomal RNA is filed under the name uncultured bacterium. Its description in RNAcentral is "partial 16S ribosomal RNA". It matches the Rfam family "Bacterial small subunit ribosomal RNA", at positions 524 to 776 of the family's 1533-position model. The record is from RNAcentral.
UACGUAGGGUGCGAGCGUUGUCCGGAAUUACUGGGCGUAAAGAGCUCGUAGGUGGUUUGUCGCGUUGUUCGUGAAAACCUGAGGCUUAACCUUGGGCGUGCGGGCGAUACGGGCAGACUGGAGUACUGCAGGGGAGACUGGAAUUCCUGGUGUAGCGGUGGAAUGCGCAGAUAUCAGGAGGAACACCGGUGGCGAAGGCGGGUCUCUGGGCAGUAACUGACGCUGAGACGCGAAAGCGUGGGGAGCAAACAGG